Molecule: non-coding RNA, 86 nt
Filed under: bovine gut metagenome
Description: Glycine riboswitch
Rfam family: Glycine riboswitch aptamer
About the family: This family represents the bacterial glycine riboswitch.
Source: RNAcentral
GCAAUCCGGAGAAGCCCUUAUAUUUGGGUGCCGAAGGUGCAACGCCGCAUGAAACGGCUAAUCUCUCAGGCAAAAGGACGGAUGCA